CUGAAUGUUGUUGUUAGUGUUUGGUGGUGGCGGUGGAGGGCAAGCAAAGCCAGCGGCAAAGAUGGAGGAGAAGAGGAAAAGGAGGAGGUGGUUGUGGUUAUGAAGGGCUGCAGUGGCAGGGACAGCCGGUUAUAGUUUCCCUUUGAGGGGUGGGAGGGAAGAGGGAGAGAGAUACAUCUGGGACAGGCUGGGCCCAGUAAUUGCAGCUUUCCAUCCUGCACGAACAUCUGCAAGAAAAAGCAGCAGCAGCAACGCGCCAUUUUCCCGAUCUUCUGGCAGGGUUCCCUAGAAGGAUUUCCCCUUUUGCCACAAGGGAUGUCUCAGCAGUGUUGGCAGAACGGCAUCUGACUAUCUCCGCCGUCAGCCCCCACCCCCUACGUGAACGCUCCUGUAGGCCUAACGUAGCUCUGCAGACAGCUGUUUUCUCCUUUUUCCUGAUCUUUCAUUGAUCAGCCACCUACCAACAAGGACAACAUGAACUCCAAGAAUGAGUCCGCAGGAUCCCAGGGCAGGACUAGCUUGUGUACCUCUGCUUGUGCUACCACUUAUGCAACAAACUCAAUACUACUUUGUGCUAUUUCCAUUGUGUCUUAAGUAUUCCAUUAGAAAUAGCAAUAUGCAACUGAUGUAUCUUCUAGGAGUAAUUCAACAGCAAUCUCUUGCUGGUCAAAUGUUAUUAAUUAUCAUUGUCAUCAUUGCCUUCUACACAUGUGUCUCAAGGUGAUGAACAAUAAAGCCUGUUAAACAACAUGGAAAGCAGGAGAUUAAUUUGUCUGCCUGUUCUCCU
Rhineura floridana is the source of this 787-nucleotide long non-coding RNA. RefSeq lists it as uncharacterized. The transcript has 3 exons. The record is from RefSeq and is a predicted model, not a curated record. Lineage: Eukaryota; Metazoa; Chordata; Lepidosauria; Squamata; Rhineuridae.